This 301-nucleotide ribosomal RNA is filed under the name uncultured bacterium. RNAcentral's name for it is "partial 16S ribosomal RNA". It matches the Rfam family "Bacterial small subunit ribosomal RNA", at positions 509 to 808 of the family's 1533-position model. The record is from RNAcentral.
CAGUCGCCGCGGUAAGACGAACCGUGCGAACGUUAUUCGGAAUCACUGGGCUUAAAGCGCGUGUAGGCGGGCCGCCACGUCGGCUGCUGAAAUCCCCCGGCUCAACCGGGGAACGGGCACCGAUACGAGCGGCCUCGAGGGGGGUAGGGGGGUCUGGAACUUCCGGUGGAGCGGUGAAAUGCGUUGAGAUCGGAAGGAACACCAGUGGCGAAGGCGACCACCUGGACUAAUACUGACACUGAGGUGCGAAAGCGUGGGGAGCAAACAGGAUUAGAUACCCCUGUAGUCCCUGUCUCUUAUA